Molecule: non-coding RNA, 540 nt
Organism: Jatropha curcas
Lineage: Eukaryota; Viridiplantae; Streptophyta; Magnoliopsida; Malpighiales; Euphorbiaceae
Source: RefSeq, a predicted model, not a curated record
CGAAGAGUUAAUGUUUCUCUUACAAGGGCUAGGUUCUUUUCAGUGAAUACUUUAGAAGAUCAUUUGGAAAGCUGAGAGCAAAAAGGACAAAGACUUCUGUUUUGAACCUUCUGCUAAGACUUUCUAGUGGAUGGCGUCCUAAGAAAAGAAAUGUGGAUUUAACUUGUGAAAGCUCUUCUCAAAUCUUGAAACAGUUCAAGGUUGAAGAACUGUAUGUGAUCUGUUCAGUUGAUAUAGUGAAGGAAGUAAAAUACAUUCAAGUUCUGAAGGUCUGGGAUAUAUUACCUUUGGAAGAUAUUCCGAGUUUGGUUAAACGUCUCAGUGGGAUCUUUGAAAGACACACAGAUGAUUUCAUCAGUUGUUGCAAUGCGAAAUGUUUGGAAGGAGACUUGGAAGUUCCCAAAGUUUGGUCAACCUCAUUUGAUAUUGUCCGUUAUAAGAGUCCUAUCAACAAUGAAGCAGGGAAUGAUUCAAAUUUUGGUGCUUCUGAUUCUAGAUGCUAUGUGGAAAACUCCAAAGUGAGUGAUAGUUUGUUGCUAA